RNAcentral lists this ribosomal RNA (525 nucleotides) under Triticum aestivum (bread wheat). RNAcentral describes it as "partial small subunit ribosomal RNA". Lineage: Eukaryota; Viridiplantae; Streptophyta; Magnoliopsida; Poales; Poaceae. The record is from RNAcentral.
AUGCCGAGGGCUUCCAUCUUCGCAGAUGAUGCUAUCUUGUUUUUCAGGCCGGUGCAUGCCGACUUACAGACCAUAUCUAGUAUUCUGAAGCUCGUUGGUGAAGCCGCGGGUCUGAGGAUUAACUUGUAUAAGAGUACUAUCACAACCAUCUGUUGCGACGAAGGGGUUGCAACAGCUGUGGAGGAGCAUUUCCAGUGCAGGAGGCAACAAUUCCCUAUCCAAUAUUUGGGCCUACCCCUCUCCAUCUUCCGAUUGCGACGCCAAGAUCUCCUCCCACUCAUCGAUAAAUUCUCAGGAAAAUUGAAAGGAUGGAAGCCAAAGAUGCUUGCUGUUGCGGGCCGUCUAACUCUCACUCGCUCGGUCCUCAUGGCCCUGCCCUUACACUGGAUGGCUGUACUCCCUUUGCCGGCUUGGGUCAUCAAGAUCAUUAAUAGGCGUUGCCGUGGAUUUAUUUGGAAGGGUGAACAGGAGAUCAAUGGUGGUCAUGGUCUACUGCCUUGGUCCAGAGUUUGCUUGCCUUUGGAG